Arabidopsis lyrata subsp. lyrata is the source of this 542-nucleotide long non-coding RNA. RefSeq lists it as uncharacterized. The transcript has 2 exons. NCBI's taxonomy places the organism in Eukaryota, Viridiplantae, Streptophyta, Magnoliopsida, Brassicales, Brassicaceae. The record is from RefSeq and is a predicted model, not a curated record.
CAAAACUAUAUCAAGCAUGAAACCGAUUAGUUUCAUAGAGCUCAAACCCAAUCGUAAACAACAAACAGAGCCACAUCUCACAAACAAUGGUAGACACAAAUAUGUCCGUAAUUAACAAAUCAAAUCAACCCAAAGAGGAUGGAGAAUGGGUUCUGGGUGUUCGUCGAUAUGGCUAGCGGAAGAUGGAGGAAUCUUAAGGAAAUGACAGAGAAAACUCAAUGAAGAUGAUGAUUGUUGAAUACAUAAAAGAUUUCAUUUUUUUUUUUUGGUUUCUUCAUUUUUGCAGAAAGUUUAAGAAAUAACUGAUUGAUAAUAAUACUUAGACGAGUUAAUAACCCUUCAUUUGUUUUAAUCUUUCUCCUAAAUUUUGUAAUCUUUGAUUUGUUAUCUUGGAAAAAGAUAAACAAAGAGUUUGUAACUUUCAAGCAAUUUCUUCUCUUUACGACUAUUUCGAUUUUCUCCAAGAUCCCAAUCGUAGGACACACUUCUUAUCAUUGGAAUAGAGAACAAUGUAAUCUAGCUAUUUACAACCUAAACGUAGU